GACGUAGGGCGCGAGCGUUGUCCGGAUUUAUUGGGCGUAAAGAGCUCGUAGGCGGCUUGUUGCGUCGACCGUGAAAACCCGGGGCUCAACUUCGGGCUUGCGGUUGAUACGGGCGGGCUGGAGUUCGGUAGGGGAGACUGGAAUUCCUGGUGUAGCGGUGAAAUGCGCAGAUAUCAGGAAGAACACCCGUGGCGAAGGCGGCUCUCUGGGACGGUACUGACGCUGAGACGCGAAAGCGUGGGGAGCGAACAGG
This 253-nucleotide ribosomal RNA is filed under the name uncultured bacterium. RNAcentral's name for it is "partial 16S ribosomal RNA". It matches the Rfam family "Bacterial small subunit ribosomal RNA", at positions 524 to 776 of the family's 1533-position model. The record is from RNAcentral.